GUGAAUCAUCGAAUCUUUGAACGCACCUUGCACUCCUUGGUAUUCCGAGGAGUAUGCCUGUUUGAGUGUCAUUAAAUUCUCAAAAACCUAGCUGUUUUUCAAACGGUCUAUGAUUUUUGGAUGUGAGGGGCUUCUGCUGGCUUCAAUCGAGUCAGCUCCCUUUAAAUGCAUUAGUGGUUGCUUUCAUUCACUAGAGUGUGAUAAUAUAUCUACGCUCAGAGUUGAAUAAAGCUUUCAUCCGCUUCGAACCGUCUUUGCACAACUCUUGACCAUUUGACCUCAAAUCAGGUAGGACUACCCGCUGAACUUAAGCAUAUCAAUAAGCGGAGGA
This 331-nucleotide unclassified non-coding RNA is filed under the name Gerronema sp. RNAcentral describes it as "partial contains 5.8S ribosomal RNA, internal transcribed spacer 2, and large subunit ribosomal RNA". The stretch from base 1 to 71 matches the Rfam family "5.8S ribosomal RNA", at positions 84 to 154 of the family's 154-position model. Lineage: Eukaryota; Fungi; Basidiomycota; Agaricomycetes; Agaricales; Porotheleaceae. The record is from RNAcentral.